AUAAGAAGAAGAAAAAGCGAAAUAAAAAGAAGAGGGAAAAGCGUUUAUCUACUUGUACAGCAGACGAAUCUAAGAAAACUGAGUCGUCUUCCUCCCCAAUUGUAUCAGACGAGUUUGCGGCUGCUUUUUCUUCCUUGGCCAAGCUGUCUAAAAAAAUGGGCAUAAAAAAGUUUAAAGCAUCAGAUGACGAAGCUGAAAAAAUUGAGAAGAAAA
RNAcentral lists this non-coding RNA (213 nucleotides) under Corethron pennatum. Lineage: Eukaryota; Bacillariophyta; Corethrophyceae; Corethrales; Corethraceae. The record is from RNAcentral.